UUGCUUCACAGAAGGCCUGAGCUGGGAGGGGUUAGUCCCUUUAAGGGAGCUUUUAAAGAUUCCCCUUCCACUCCUGGGCAGGAGAUGGAGGCGAGGGCUAAUUCGGUAAAUCCUAGCGUGGGUGAAACCCUACUUCAUCCUCACAGAAAUGAAUCUUCAGGCCACAAGAGUGCUACAUCAUUUGCCGUUUACAUGUGGACCCUAAACGAUCCUUUGCUUGGGAAUAAUGAAACUGGAAGAGUGCAAAUUAAACCCUGAAGGCAGCAUCCAAAAGUAAGAAGACUAAGCAGAUUUCACUUUUCGGCAAAAAUUAUACAACAGCUUCCCCAUCUUCAAAACGGUCUCUCAAUCAACAAGGCUGCAAUCAAGGUAUCAACCAGGGACAGGGUCUCAUCUAAGGCUCAACUGGGGAAGAACACUUCCAAACUCACAUAGUUGUCGGCAGGAUUCAGUUCUUAGUGACAGUCAAACUAAGGGGUUCACCUUGCUGCUGGCUGUCAGCUGGAACCCAUUCUCAGUUCUUUGCCACGUGGGUCUCUCCAUAUGGUGGGUUACUUCAUCAGAGCCAGCAAACAAGAGUCAAUAGAGUCUACCAGCAAGAUGGAAAUUACAAUCUAUGUCAUAUAAUUGUGGAAGUGGCAUCCCAUCACCUUUGCCAUAUUCUGUUGGGUAGAAGGAAGUCACAGGUCCCACCCACAUUCAAAGAUUCCAAGAAGGUGUGAGGCAAGGAUUAUUGGGAGCCAUCCUAGAAACUGUCCACCACAGUACUAUCUUUGAGAUCCACUGUGUAUUUUCCACUUACAAUACCUCUCAAGUCAGAUCAACCACAUUUCGAGUACUCAGUAGCCACUGACUAGUGGCUACCAUAUUGGACAGCAGUAUUCUGUAACAGCUUAAGCCCAUACAUCUGGGAAUUACAGGAUACCUGAAAACCGGUGUAAGCAAUCAUGUGUUUAUAUGGACAACUUAAACUCAAAAGAAUUGAAAGUAUAAAAUAUAGAAGGUUAAAAACAUUUUGUUACUUUUAAUAGGUAAAGAACUUGGGACUUCCCUGGUGGUCCGGUGGUUAA
Molecule: non-coding RNA, 1070 nt
Organism: Delphinapterus leucas (beluga whale)
Lineage: Eukaryota; Metazoa; Chordata; Mammalia; Artiodactyla; Monodontidae
Source: RefSeq, a predicted model, not a curated record